AGGUAACGGCUCACCAAACCUUUGACCGGUACGGGCCAUGAGAGUGGUAGCCCGGAGAUGGACACUGAGAUAGGGGUCCAGGCCCUACGGGGCGCAGCAGGCGCGAAAACUCCACACUGUACGUAAGUACGAUGGGGUUACCUCGAGUGUAGUCUGUAAAAGAUUGCUUUUCCAUAGAGUAAUAUCCUGUGGGAAUAAGAGGGGGGCAAGACUGGUGUCAGCCGCCGCGGUAACACCAGCCCCUCGAGUGGUAGGGACUUUUAUUUGGCCUAAAGCGUUCGUAGCCGUCUGUAACCGUUGCCCGUUAAAUCCAGCGUCUCAAGCGUUGGACUGCGGGCGAUACCUUACAGAUUGAGGGUGGGAUAGGUAAGCGGUAUUUCUGGGGUAGGGGCGAAAUCCUUUGAUCCCAGGAGGACCACCAGUGGCGAAGGCUGCUUACUAGAACACGCCUGACGGUCAGGAACGAAAGCUGGGGUAGCGAACCGGAUUAUAUACCCGGGUAGUCCCAGCUGUAAAACGAUGCGCGCUAGGUGUUGGGUCGGCCAUGCGCCGCCCCAGUGCCGCAGGGAAGCCGUUAAGCGCGCCGCCUGGGGAGUACGGCCGCAAGGCUGAAACUUAAAGGAAUUGGCGGGGGAGCAC
This 639-nucleotide ribosomal RNA is filed under the name uncultured archaeon. Its description in RNAcentral is "bacterial SSU rRNA". It matches the Rfam family "Archaeal small subunit ribosomal RNA", at positions 239 to 879 of the family's 1478-position model. The record is from RNAcentral.